UCGCGGCUUAUCACCGGCAGUCCCCUUAGAGUGCCCAACUGAAUGAUGGCAACUAAGGGCGAGGGUUGCGCUCGUUGCGGGACUUAACCCAACAUCUCACGACACGAGCUGACGACGGCCAUGCAGCACCUGUGUUCAGGUUCUCUUUCGAGCACGAAACCAUCUCUGGUAACUUCCUGACAUGUCAAGGGUAGGUAAGGUUUUUCGCGUUGCAUCGAAUUAAACCACAUCAUCCACCGCUUGUGCGGGUCCCCGUCAAUUCCUUUGAGUUUUAAUCUUGCGGCCGUACUCCCCAGGCGGGGAACUUAAUGCGUUAGCUUCGGCACGGACGGAGUCGACACCGCCCACACCUAGUUCCCGUCGUUUACGGCGUGGACUAC
RNAcentral lists this unclassified non-coding RNA (380 nucleotides) under uncultured bacterium. RNAcentral's name for it is "contains 16S-23S intergenic spacer region". The record is from RNAcentral.